GUUAGGAAUAUUGGACAAUGGGCGAAAGCCUGAUCCAGCCAUGCCGCGUGAACGAUGAAGGCCUUCGGGUUGUAAAGUUCUUUAGCCGAUGAUUAUAAUGACUGUAGUCGGAAAAUAAGCCCCGGCUAACUUCGUGCCAGCAGCCGCGGUAAUACGAAGGGGGCGAGCGUUAUUCGGAAUCACUGGGCGUAAAGCGUGCGUAGGCGGUUUUGUGAGUUAGGAGUGAAAGCCCAGGGCUCAACCUUGGAAUUGCUCUUAAAACUGCAAGGCUCGAAGCUCGGAGAGGAUAGCGGAAAUUCCAGUGUAGCAGUGAAAUGCGUAGAUAUUGGAAGGAACACCAGUGGCGUAAGCGGCUAUCUGGACGAGUAUUGACGCUGAGGCACGAAAGCGUGGGGAUCAAACAGGAUUAGAAACCCCUGUAGUCC
This 425-nucleotide ribosomal RNA is filed under the name uncultured bacterium. RNAcentral's name for it is "partial 16S ribosomal RNA". It matches the Rfam family "Bacterial small subunit ribosomal RNA", at positions 354 to 796 of the family's 1533-position model. The record is from RNAcentral.